This 437-nucleotide ribosomal RNA is filed under the name uncultured bacterium. RNAcentral describes it as "bacterial SSU rRNA". It matches the Rfam family "Bacterial small subunit ribosomal RNA", at positions 43 to 524 of the family's 1533-position model. The record is from RNAcentral.
CAGGCCUGAGGCACAUGCAAGAUGAGCGGGGCUUUCGGGGUCCGAGGCGGACGGGUGAGUAACGCGUGGGAACGUGCCCUCUGGUUCGGAACAACUCCUGGAAACGGGAGCUAAUACCGGAUACGCCCUUUUGGGGAAAGGCUUGCUGCCGGAGGAUCGGCCCGCGUCUGAUUAGCUUGUUGGUGGGGUAACGGCCUACCAAGGCGACGAUCAGUAGCUGGUCUGAGAGGAUGAUCAGCCACACUGGGACUGAGACACGGCCCAGACUCCUACGGGAGGCAGCAGUGGGGAAUAUUGGACAAUGGGCGCAAGCCUGAUCCAGCCAUGCCGCGUGAGUGAUGAAGGCCUUAGGGUUGUAAAGCUCUUUUAUCCGGGACGAUAAUGACGGUACCGGAGGAAUAAGCCCCGGCUAACUUCGUGCCAGCAGCCGCGGUAAU